GCCCAAAAAUGCUAACACUCACUGCUGUCCGGUGAGAGGGCCCGGAGACGAGGGCUCUUCAUGGCUGACACAAGAGCAACAAGCAUUCCGUAGAAACCACACUUCACCUGGUGCAUGUUGACCUUCUUCUGGGCCAAGUGUAUAAAAACCUCUCUCCUACCACCUGACGCUGAGGGGCAUAGCACAAGGAGAAGACAGGAUGGCUUCAAGAUUUCCAGUGUGCAAAAAAUCCCAUUGUUUAUUCUAUGUUCAUUUUCACGAGUGGUCUCUCAUCAGAACUAAGAGUUCGUCAUUCUUCCCAAUCAGUGUGUGAUCCAUAAGUGUGGAGAGUGCUGGCCUACCUCAUUUUGCUCAUGACUUGCAAGGUUUACUUGAAAAGCUCUUAGGAGCACCCGUGAAUAAACAAGAAUGCAAAGU
RNAcentral lists this long non-coding RNA (417 nucleotides) under Mus pahari (shrew mouse). Its description in RNAcentral is "lncRNA (MGP_PahariEiJ_G0006387.1)". Lineage: Eukaryota; Metazoa; Chordata; Mammalia; Rodentia; Muridae. The record is from RNAcentral.